This 1272-nucleotide ribosomal RNA is filed under the name Pharyngocirrus uchidai. RNAcentral's name for it is "16S ribosomal RNA". It matches the Rfam family "Bacterial large subunit ribosomal RNA", at positions 506 to 2783 of the family's 2925-position model. Lineage: Eukaryota; Metazoa; Annelida; Polychaeta; Saccocirridae. The record is from RNAcentral.
ACCGAAAAGAGAGUUGUAGAUUCAACUUGCUGCGAUUUCUAAAUUUUUACAGAGCCUACUGAAUAAUGCAUUUACACGCUUACCUGAGAACUAAAAGAACAUAAUUUUUACUGUAAAGGAAUUUUUAAUUAUUUAAAGUAAAGUUCCAUUCUUGUACCUUGUGCAUCAUGGCUUUGCUAUAUACCUCUGGCCAAGACUAUCCCGAAAUCUCUGCGAGCUGCCCGAGAUUUGCGAAGAGCCCACCAAUAAAUGUUGAAAUAUUUAUGGAAAAAUCCCGGGCAGCGGCUACAUACCAACCGCGCGAGCGAUAGCUGGUUUUCUUCCAGCCCCACUUUAAUGGGAAAAGCAAACUGCUAUUCUAUAUAUUAAAAGACAAGUUUUAAUAUAUCUCCUAUUUUUAAUUAAGCUCAUUGGACACCCAUGCUUAGAACCAGCAACUUUCGUCUCAGUUAAUCUACAAAAUGAAGCGAUUAUUAUACCCGCAAGAAUGGACAUCAAAGAAGAAUUACCCCCUCAACCGAGCGGGAGUAAAAAAAUGCAAAGAUGAGUAUCCCAGUAAAUAGUUACUUUAUUUUAUCAACAUAUGUUAGCAAGGAACUCGGCAAACACAAGCUUCGACUGUUUAACAAAAACAUUGCCUUAUGGUAAUUUAUAUAAGGUAAACCCUGCCCAGUGAGUUCUUAAACGGCCGCGGUACCCUGACCGUGCAAAGGUAGCAUAAUCAUUUGCCCCUUAAUUGGGGGCUGGCAUGAAUGGGCCAACGAGGGCUUUCCUGUCUCGUUAACAUUAAUAGAAAUUAACCCCUAGGUGAAGAGGCCUAGAUAUAUAUGAAAGACAAGAAGACCCUGUCGAGCUCUGCGCCUAUGUCGAUCCCAGCCAUUUAAAAGAUAAAAAGAGAUUGUCCAAGCGCUUCGUUGGGGCGACGAGAGGGAAAAUAAUACACCUCUUUUUCCCAAGGCUGAUUUGCCAACAAAUGACCCAUAACCAUGAUCAAAAGACAAAGCUACCGCAGGGAUAACAGGCUAAUCCUCUCAGAAAGUUCCCAUCGACGAGAGGGGUUGGCACCUCGAUGUUGGCUUAGAGUCCCCCCGGUGGCGCAGCUGCCCCGAAGGUUGGUUUGUUCAACCAUUAAAACUCUACAUGAGCUGAGUUCAGACCGGCGCAAGCCAGGUUAGUUUCUAUCUUCAUAACCAACUAUUCUCCAGUAGUACGAAAGGACCCCGAGAGAACGGAUAUUCCGCAUUAUCCCGUAAUAAUAAUAGACACCAUAUA